Molecule: long non-coding RNA, 375 nt
Filed under: Lathyrus oleraceus (garden pea)
Lineage: Eukaryota; Viridiplantae; Streptophyta; Magnoliopsida; Fabales; Fabaceae
Description: Pisum sativum (pea) long non-coding RNA (PSAT_LNC003102)
Source: RNAcentral
AGUACUUGAGCAAUCCUCCACAGGUCGGUAGGAUUCUGCUUCUUCAAAAUAAUUGCUUAAACUAAAUUAAAUAAAUUGCAGUAGUUCCCUAGUGUAGAAAACUACUACUUUGACGAAAUGAAAAAACGGAAAGGGAAAGGGAAAAUGGAAACGCUGAACGGAACGGUAAAUAAAUUAUGGUAAAAAAAAAACAAUGUUGCUGGAAAAAAAAAAUAGAAAAUAGAAUUGUUGUGGAAAAUAAAUGCAGAGAAAAAUCUUGAAAGCUGGCUUCAGGGAGAAAAAUCAAGUGUGCCCGUAGGUUUCCAACUUCCAUCCUUUUAUAUUCUCCAUUUGGUCUUGGCAGUUGAGAGAAAUAAGGGUGGCUUGGUUGAGUGA